Molecule: non-coding RNA, 21 nt
Filed under: Arabidopsis thaliana (thale cress)
Lineage: Eukaryota; Viridiplantae; Streptophyta; Magnoliopsida; Brassicales; Brassicaceae
Source: RNAcentral
AGACUACUCGAAUAUCUAGGU